AUAUUUUUCUGUCUACCAAAGACAUAAUGGCUGCUCCUUUUAUGGGAAACCAGGAUUUAAUCCAAUCUGCAAUGAUGUAACUAAAAAGCAGAAUCUGGCCAACCCUCAGCUUACAGAAUAGGUAAAAACCACUAGGAGCAAUGUGAAUUUUUCAGAGGAGCUCUGUUAUCCGCCAAAAACAUCCUAUGGAUAUUUCAAGGCCCACAUAGGAUCUCCCAAGACUGUUUAUCCCUAUCACACC
Molecule: non-coding RNA, 241 nt
Organism: Sturnus vulgaris (Common starling)
Lineage: Eukaryota; Metazoa; Chordata; Aves; Passeriformes; Sturnidae
Source: RefSeq, a predicted model, not a curated record